GUGCUUGCUUCCGCAACACAUAUCCUAAAAUUGGAACAAUACAGAGAAGAUUAGUAUGGCCCCUGUGCGAGGGUGACAUGCAAAAUUUGUGAAGAAUUCCACGGAUAC
Molecule: non-coding RNA, 108 nt
Organism: Pelobates cultripes (western spadefoot toad)
Lineage: Eukaryota; Metazoa; Chordata; Amphibia; Anura; Pelobatidae
Source: the annotation of a GenBank genome assembly